AGCAGAAUGGCUCCCGCAAAGGGUGGUAAGAAGAAAGGCUGUUCUGCCAUCAACCAGGUGGUAACCCAAGAAUACACUAUUGAGAUUCACAAGUGCAUUCAUGGAGUGAGCCUCUAAGAAGCAAGCCCCUCAGGCACUCAAAGAGAUCUGGAAAUUUGCCAUGAGGGAGAUGAGGACCCCAGAUGCACACAUUGAUAGCAGGCUCAACAAAGCUGUCUGGGCCAAAGGAAUAAGGAAUGUCUCACACAGUGUAUCCCUGCGUGGUUGUCCAGAAAAUGUAAUGAAGAUAAAAAUUCACUAAAACAAGCUCUAUACUUUGGUUACUUAUGUACCUGUUACCACUUUCAAAAUCUACAGACACUCCAUGUGGAUAAGAACU
RNAcentral lists this long non-coding RNA (379 nucleotides) under Homo sapiens (human). Its description in RNAcentral is "non-protein coding lnc-TRAF4-1:1". The record is from RNAcentral. Lineage: Eukaryota; Metazoa; Chordata; Mammalia; Primates; Hominidae.